GAUGAACGCUGGCGGCGUGCCUAAUACAUGCAAGUCGAGCGAACGGACGAGAAGCUUGCUUCUCUGAUGUUAUCGGCGGACGGGUGAGUAACACGUGUAUAACCUACCUAUAAGACUGGGAUAACUUCGGGAAACCGUAGCUAAUACCGGAUAAUAUUUUGAACCGCAUGGUUCAAAAGUGAAAGACGGUCUUGCUGUCACUUAUAGAUGGAUCCGCGCUGCAUUAGCUAGUUGUUAAGGUAACGGCUUACCAAGGCAACGAUGCAUAGCCGACCUGAGAGGGUGAGCGGCCACACUGGAACUGAGACACGGUCCAGACUCCUACGGGAGGCAGCAGUAGGGAAUCUUACGCAAUGGGCGAAAGCAUGACGGAGCAACGCCGCGUGAGUGAUGAAGGUCUUCGGAUCGUAAAACUCUGUUAUUAGGGAAGAACAUAUGUGUAAGUAAAUGUGCACAUCUUGACGGUACCUAAUAAGAAAGCCACGGCUAACUACGUG
This 497-nucleotide ribosomal RNA is filed under the name uncultured bacterium. Its description in RNAcentral is "partial 16S ribosomal RNA". It matches the Rfam family "Bacterial small subunit ribosomal RNA", at positions 28 to 507 of the family's 1533-position model. The record is from RNAcentral.